Molecule: transfer RNA, 40 nt
Filed under: Dryopteris aitoniana
Lineage: Eukaryota; Viridiplantae; Streptophyta; Polypodiopsida; Polypodiales; Dryopteridaceae
Description: partial transfer RNA-Phe
Rfam family: tRNA
About the family: Transfer RNA (tRNA) molecules are approximately 80 nucleotides in length.
Source: RNAcentral
GCCCAGAUAGCUCAGUCGGUAGAGCAGAGGACUGAAAAUC